CCUACGGGAGGCAGCAGUAGGGAAUCUUUCACAAUGGGCGAAAGCCUGAUGGAGCAACGCCGCGUGCAGGAUGAAGGCCUUCGGGUUGUAAACUGCUUUUAUAAGCGAGAAAUAUGAUGGUAACUUAUGAAUAAGGAUCGGCUAACUACGUGCCAGCAGCCGCGGUCAUACGUAGGAUCCGAGCAUUAACCGGAGUGACUGGGUGUAAAGAGUUGCGUAGGUGGCAUAAUAAGUAGCUAGUGAAAUCUGGUGGCUCAACCAUUCAGACUAUUAGCUAAACUGUUAAGCUCGAGACCGUUAGGGGUAACUGGAAUUUCUAGUGUAGGAGUGAAAUCCGUAGAUAUUAGAAGGAACACCAAUAGCGUAGGCAGGUUGCUGGGACGGUUCUGACACUAAGGCACGAAAGCGUAGGGAGCAAACGGGAUUAGAUACCCGUGUAGUC
This 442-nucleotide ribosomal RNA is filed under the name uncultured bacterium. RNAcentral describes it as "partial 16S ribosomal RNA". It matches the Rfam family "Bacterial small subunit ribosomal RNA", at positions 338 to 795 of the family's 1533-position model. The record is from RNAcentral.